Molecule: ribosomal RNA, 478 nt
Filed under: uncultured bacterium
Lineage: Bacteria
Description: partial 16S ribosomal RNA
Rfam family: Bacterial small subunit ribosomal RNA
Source: RNAcentral
GACGAACGCUGGCGGCGUGCUUAACACAUGCAAGUCGAGCGGUAAGGCCCUUCGGGGUACACGAGUGGCGAACGGGUGAGUAACACGUGGGUGAUCUGCCCUGCACUUCGGGAUAAGCCUGGGAAACUGGGUCUAAUACCGGAUAGGACUCCUGGCUUCAUGGUUGGGGGUGGAAAGCUUUUGCGGUGUGGGAUGGGCCCGCGGCCUAUCAGCUUGUUGGUGGGGUAAUGGCCUACCAAGGCGACGACGGGUAGCCGGCCUGAGAGGGUGACCGGUCACACUGGGACUGAGAUACGGCCCAGACUCCUACGGGAGGCAGCAGUGGGGAAUAUUGCACAGUGGGCGCAAGCCUGAUGCAGCGACGCCGCGUGAGGGAUGACGGCCUUCGGGUUGUAAACCUCUUUCAGCUAUGACGAAGCGCAAGUGACGGUAGUAGCAGAAGAAGGACCGGCCAACUACGUGCCAGCCGCCGCAGUAA